CCUACGGGUGGCAGCAGUGAGGAAUAUUGGUCAAUGGCCGGAAGGCUGAACCAGCCAAGUCGCGUGAGGGACGACUGCCCUAUGGGUUGUAAACCUCUUUUAUAAGGGAAGAAGAAAUGCGACGUGUAGCAUGAUGCCUGUACCUUAUGAAUAAGCAUCGGCGAACUCCGGGCCAGCAGCCGCGGUAAUACGGAGGAUGCGAGCGUUAUCCGGAUUUAUGGGGUUUACAGAGUGAGUAGGCGGUUUUUUAAGUUAGUGGUUAAACGUCGGGGCUUCACCGUGAUUUGCCAUUCAUACUGUCAGACUCGAGUUCAGACGAGGUAGGCGGAAUCAGU
This 335-nucleotide ribosomal RNA is filed under the name uncultured bacterium. RNAcentral's name for it is "partial 16S ribosomal RNA". It matches the Rfam family "Bacterial small subunit ribosomal RNA", at positions 338 to 671 of the family's 1533-position model. The record is from RNAcentral.